UUUUUUUUUUUUUUGGGUACGCGAUAACCAUUCGUUGUUGAAGUGCUACAUACGCAGCACACUCCAUUGAGGGAUGUGACAAACCACAACCCCCAGAUUCAAACUAGUAGCAACAUUUAUGUCCAAGCCAAUGCACUCGGGCAAGAAAAUCCCAACUCUGCGUCGAGAAAACUCAUAUCUUCUUCAUCACUUGGAUCUCUUUGAAUGCAUUUAGCACCCCAAGGUUUUGAUAAUAAAGAAGAUAUGGUUUUCUCCCAAGUGCAGAGACUGCAUAUUGCUACUAGUUUGAAUCCGAGGGCUAUGCUUUAUGUAAUGCACAGAAACUAAGAAUGGAUGAGGGACACACACAUAUAUAUAUAUAUAUAUAUAGGGAUAGAGAGAGAGAGAUUUGUGGAUUGUGAUUUGGGAGGGGAAUGAAACAGUAUUUAUAAGAAGAAUAUGAGGAAAAUAGAGCAAAAUUGAGAAGAUAGAAUGGUUUGGCACAGAUAUUCCAUUCAGUGUGAAAGCUUAAAGAGAGGCAAAUGACGACAUUAUGAGUUUAUGACUAGGACUACCAGAGCCUUUAUUCAACAUAGGAAUGGCAAAGCAACCUGAUAAGCAUAGUUUGUUUUUUCUCCGGUAGUGUUUGGUCUUCAAAUUUCAGUCCCUCUCCUCCAUCAUUAUGUGUUUCAAAUGACAUUUUUAUUUAUUAUUUUUUGAUUAUGUGAAAUUUACAAUUUAUUUUCUUAGCCUAUAUAUUAUUAAAAUUCAAGUUUUCUUUCUUUUUUUCUUUUUUUCUUUUUGUUGUUGAGAGUCUCCUCCGAGAAACAGAACCAACUCUUUAUUCACUUGAGCAAUUUGCAAGAUGUCAUACUCAUACUGCAACAAGAUACGAAAAAGCACCAAUGAAAAGGGCAGGCUUGCAGAAUUAGACCAGCCCAUAAUAAAAGAUGAAGUUCCAUGUUUGGGGAAUUUAGCCCAAUACCCUUAUUUGAAACGUGUUAAUGAAAUCUACUCACCUUGAUUGAAUUUUUUUCGUUUUACCCUUUCAUUUUCAUAUAUUUCCAAAUUAUCCUUUUCAAAUAUCAAAAAGGAAAAAUCAAGCCCUAAACAAAGCAUGACGAAGAAGAAGAGGAAGAGAAAGUGAGAAAAAAUGGCAAAACAGCUUGGGAUGACCAAAGAGUUCUUCAGGAGGAAGGAUGGAAGUCAAUAAUCACGAUUUAGAUGGUUUCUUUCUUGUCGAAUCUAAGAUGAAAGUGCAGGAAUUAAAGCGUGGAACUGAACGCCUAUCUAGGAAUUUGCAGGUGAUGUAUGCUUUGUCGUUGGACAAGUCAAAUCUGGCUGUUUCAAAAUAUCAAGCUGGGUGCAUGGAUGCUAAAGGAUUAGUAGAACCAAACCAUCAAACUCCAGAGAAGGAUCAUAAUGAUAACUAGUGUACCUGCUGGAAGUAGCAAACUGAACUAUGGAGUGAGUGACUUCAAGAAAAAAUGUUGUAGAAGAUCUUCAUGGAUCACCAGCAUGACUUUUAGCAUAUGCAUACAGAAGAAAAUUUCAUGAUAUGCUAAGGAUCUUAGUACUAAAAACAGUUUACAUGUACUAAAUCUUACUAGCUGGGGGUUUAACUUAAAGAAGCUCACAUAUGAAGAAAGGAAGAACCCGUUAAUUGAAGGAUUGACUAAAUUUGGGCAGUGGCAUAAAUUUUCAAAGAUAAUGCACAUGCCAUAUAGAGAAACCUGGCUUUCCUUGUGUCCAUGCAAUUGCAGCAUGUAAGCAUCAACAUAUUUCUCCAUAUAUCAUUUGCUCGGCACAUUACUCAAUUGACUCACUUCGUGAAGCAUAUUCGGAAACCAUAUAUCCACUUGGAGAUAAAUGUCAGUGGCAUGCUCUAGAUGAUGUCAUAAACCAGCUUGUACUUCUACCUAAGAUUGGCAAACAGUCAGGAAGACCAAGAAAGAAGAGGAUUCAAUCUCAAGGAGAGGAGUGUCAUCAAUAUAGAUUGGUCAUAGCAGCUGAUCAUGCUCAGGCGCCAUACCUCUUGAUAGCAUUGCCAACCAACAGCACCAUUCAACCGAAGGACCAUAAAUCGCUCUACACUAUAUUAAGACAAUGGGGGCAUGUUAUGUGGUAUGCAUGUGUUAUGCAAUGUAGUAAGGAAUGCAAUUAGUAGCUCAACCGCGUAACGUGUGUUUUGGCAUAACAGACAUUGGUUUUAUGUGUUGUUUUGUUGGAAAAGUAUCUAUCG
This is a long non-coding RNA of Ziziphus jujuba (common jujube), 2221 nucleotides long. RefSeq lists it as uncharacterized. The transcript is spliced from 4 exons. Lineage: Eukaryota; Viridiplantae; Streptophyta; Magnoliopsida; Rosales; Rhamnaceae. The record is from RefSeq and is a predicted model, not a curated record.